RNAcentral lists this microRNA precursor (104 nucleotides) under Marmota monax (woodchuck). The record is from RNAcentral. Lineage: Eukaryota; Metazoa; Chordata; Mammalia; Rodentia; Sciuridae.
AAGAGAAUCCCCUGGGGAUCUUGUUAAAAAUGCAGAUUCUAAUUCAGGAAGUCUAGGAUAUAGCCUAAGAAUCUGUUUCUAACCAACUCUCAGAUGAUAUCCAU